RNAcentral lists this ribosomal RNA (695 nucleotides) under Scierus sp. VS-2014. Its description in RNAcentral is "eukaryotic LSU rRNA". It matches the Rfam family "Eukaryotic large subunit ribosomal RNA", at positions 398 to 844 of the family's 3401-position model. The record is from RNAcentral. Lineage: Eukaryota; Metazoa; Arthropoda; Insecta; Coleoptera; Curculionidae.
CGUGAAACCGUUUAGGGGUAAACCUGAGAAACCCGAAAGGUCGAAGGGAGAAAUUCAUUCGCGUUUCGGAAACGGCGUCGGAUAUUCGCGAGACGGAAGGGCGUUCGCGCGCUUUUUCGCUCCUUUUAUUCGUUCGAACCGUUUUCGAACGCGUGCACUUUUCUUCUGGUAGGACGUCGCGAUCCGUUGGGUGUCGGUCUACGGCUCGCGGUGGAGCCCGUUUGAGCGUACUCUGUACGAUCGAAAGGACCCGUGUGUUCCUGGCCGACUCGCUCGACGGUAUACGAAAGGUUAGGGGCCGCUCUUUUCGGAGCGUCCGGCUCUCGGCAAGCGCGUCAGAUGUAUCGUUGGCGAUCGGACCUAGUGCCGAUUCCGACCUCUGACGACUGUUGGCCGAGAAGUUCUCGGACAGACCUCGCGACCGAUCUGCGGCGCUAUAGCUUUGGGUACUUUCAGGACCCGUCUUGAAACACGGACCAAGGAGUCUAGCAUAUGCGCGAGUCAUUGGGAAUCACUAAACCUAAAGGCGAAAUGAAAGUAAAGGUCUUCCUAGCGGAGACCGAGGGAAGACGAGCGAUAUUACCGUUAAAAGUGAUCGUUCCGCACUCCCAGGGCGUCUCGUUCUUAUCGCAAGAAGAGGCGCACCAAGAGCGUAUACGCUGGGACCCGAAAGAUGGUGAACUAUGCCUGGUCAG